GCCCCCGCCAGUGUUUGAGCCAUCCUCCACUCCGGCCUCUCACCGUACAGUCCGCCGCAGCCCGGUCAUCCUUAGUCGCACCAUCGACACACGAAGACGAGGUCAGAGCCCCUGUUGCCGCCGCAAGCGAGAGGCGAUUUGCCGUUGCGGCCGCGCCCGUCGCGCAAAUACCGGAACGCAAGUGAUCUCUUUCCUACCGCCACGAUCGAGCGGUUGCAUCGCUACAUGCACCCCCAAGGUCUUCCUCCACCGAUCUGUCCUGAACAUGCAAAUGCUGAUGUGAUGUUUUGGUUGCUCAGAUCCAUCGGUGGGAUUUCAUCAACGACAAACAUUGAUAGUGGUUCUGACAAAUAUCCAUAUAUAGUGGUUCGAUCUACAUCAGCUCGGCCCGGUAAUGCAGGAAGCUUUACAUCACAAUCGCUUGCAGUGACAAGUAAACAAUACACAUCAUGUUCGCUUCUUUUUCAAAGCUGUUAUGCCGCUGCCAGUUAAUUGCUAAUUGUAUAUCUCUGAAAUUAAUUUAUACAGCUCGAUGGGAAUGGUCCGCAUAAUGAUACCACUAAUUUAAGUGCUCGUGUUGAAGAAGAAAGCAAGCUCGGAUGAGGUACGCUUUGCUCAGUUGUAAGCAGAAGCAAACUAAGGUUCAACAGAACCAUGAGUACAAGCUGCGGAAGAACGCAUCAAUCUAAAAGUGCCACAGGUGAUGUAAUGCUCUCGAUUUUUUGCAAAAGAAAAAAAGAACUGAAGCGGUGCCACACACAAUAACAUCUGUGCACCAAGUAUUUCACUACAAUUUUACUGCACGAUUCAGGAUUUGCAUUCUAGAAAUUGGGGGUUUUGCCGUGGGGGAGGGGGCGAAAGAACCAAAAUCACUGAAAUUUUGUUACUUUUUUGGCCUAAAUUAUUUGAAAAAUUGACAAAUUUUGAACGAUUUAGAAUAAACUUUGACCAAAUUCACAAAAAACAUGAAAAAAGGGGAAAUUUCAGGUGAGAUAUAUGCUUGCCGGUGGGGGGCAAAAUUUCGAAAAUUUUGUUCCGAAAUUGUAAUCACUGGCAAGAUUCCCUGAUCGCAAUUUCCCCAUUGCAAUGUUGAGCUUGCUUUUGGCUGUCACUCUAGCUGGUAAUCACUUAAUUUCUGGAUUGUUUCAAUGGUUGGUUUGACACGAGCCUAUCAGGUUGAAAUGUUCUCAAGCUUAAAUGUAAGCGUCUCUUUCAAUUUGUACCCAGAUAUGCACAUAUAACUCCAUAGGUCAAGAGAGUUUUAUUCGAGCAGAGUUAAAUAUUUGUUUUUUUUUUUGCUUCUGCUAAAAUAGGUCCCUGGAAAGACUGAUUUUAGUAAUUUUGGUUCUAUAUAUCAUGCAGUGUACUCUACAUUUGAUCCACUUACAUUUUGCAUCUUGAUGCAUUCAUUGUAAAACAUGUACAAUGCUUGCCCAUACAUCGAUACAAUUCAUGACAGACAUGUUAUAUGCUCUUCCUAUCAAUGUUGAUAUUAUAUGCUCAGCCAGUGUGCAGGUAUAGCAGGAACAAAUGUGUAAAUAUUAGAUGCCUUGCCCAUACAAUCUCUUGAGAUAUAGCUGUUGGUACUUUCUUUUGUUCCAUGGUGCCUGUGGUAUGUUCUGCAACUUGAGCAAACAAGAUUUUCCUUUUUCUUUUCCUCUUCUUUCAUAGUUGCUAAUAGUCAUUUUCUGCACAAAGUUUUAAUUGCAUGCUACUCAAGAACCUAAGAAGUUCUGUCAUGAAGCUGUCAUUUUUCUGGUCCUUUUGGUAACAUCUAUUAGAGGACACCUGAGACCUCACCUAUAAAAACAAGUAUAUUUUGAUCACUGCUUGAUAUUAAGUGAAUAUCCCCUUUGUAUAUACCAAUGAUCAAUUUUGGAGCUCAGGACAAUGGAACCAUGGCUUCAUUUCCUUAAAAAGUGCAUCAGUUGAAUCCAGUGUAUAUUCUACAAGUUAUAAGCAUGGAUUUUGAUGUUUCUCCUCUGAUAA
Molecule: long non-coding RNA, 1989 nt
Organism: Oryza sativa Japonica Group (Japanese rice)
Lineage: Eukaryota; Viridiplantae; Streptophyta; Magnoliopsida; Poales; Poaceae
Source: RefSeq, a predicted model, not a curated record